GUACACGUUAGCUCAGUGGUUAGAGCACAGGCCUCUAGCUCCCGGGUCCGCGAGUUUGAGUCCCGUCGUCUACU
This is a non-coding RNA of Trichomalopsis sarcophagae, 74 nucleotides long. Lineage: Eukaryota; Metazoa; Arthropoda; Insecta; Hymenoptera; Pteromalidae. The record is from Rfam.